AGCAGCCGCGGUAAUUCCAGCUCCAAUAGCGUAUAUUAAAGUUGUUGCAGUUAAAAAGCUCGUAGUUGAAUUUCGGGAUUAAUAUGUUGGUCGUGCCUUGGUACGUACUGGCAUUAUUGAUUCCUACCUUCUGAAGAACCUCGAUGUCAUUAAUUUGGUGUCUUGGGGAAUCAGGACCGUUACUUUGAAAAAAUUAGAGUGUUUAAAGCAGGCUCGCGCUUGAAUACAUUAGCAUGGAAUAAUGAAAUAGGACGUUUGAUUCUAUUUUGUUGGUUUCUAGGAUCGACGUAAUGAUUAAUAGGGAUAGUUGGGGGCAUUAGUAUUCAAUUGUCAGAGGUGAAAUUCUUGGAUUUAUUGAAGACUGACUACUGCGAAAGCAUUUGCCAAGGAUGUUUUCAUUAAUCAAGAACGAAAGUUAGGGGAUCGAAGACGAUCAGAUACCGUCGUAGUCUUAACCAUAAACUAUGCCGACUAGGGAUCGGAUGAUGUUAAUUUUUAAUGACUCAUUCGGCGCCUUAAC
Molecule: small RNA, 520 nt
Filed under: uncultured Glomus
Lineage: Eukaryota; Fungi; Glomeromycota; Glomeromycetes; Glomerales; Glomeraceae
Description: SSU rRNA
Rfam family: Eukaryotic small subunit ribosomal RNA
Source: RNAcentral